AACAAAUGAUGACAACUGUUUCGGUCCCAGAUGAUCGCCUGAUUACUGCCUAAUGAGAUCACCUGAAGUU
Molecule: small nucleolar RNA, 70 nt
Filed under: Dicentrarchus labrax (European seabass)
Lineage: Eukaryota; Metazoa; Chordata; Actinopteri; Moronidae
Description: Small nucleolar RNA SNORD73 (ENSDLAG00005022081.2)
Rfam family: Small nucleolar RNA SNORD73
About the family: U73 is a member of the C/D class of snoRNA which contain the C (UGAUGA) and D (CUGA) box motifs. U73 is encoded within the introns of ribosomal protein S3a and contains a 12nt region of complementarity to a conserved sequence in 28S ribosomal RNA.
Source: Rfam by way of RNAcentral